UUUUUUUUUUUUUUUUUUUUUUUUUUUAAAAAAAAACCCUUGCUAUGAACUAAGGCAAGAGCCCCCCAGCUUUUUUGGCACUAGGGACCAGUUUUGCGGAAGGCAAUUUUUCCAUGGAUGGUGGGGAGGGGAGUUGGUUUUGGGAUGAAACUCCCACCUCAGAUCAUCAAGCAUGAGUUAGACUCUCAUAGGGAGCACAUAACCUAGAUCCCUGGCAUGCACAGUUCACAAUAGGGUUCAUGCUUUUAUGAGAAUCUAAUGACACUGCUGAUCUGACAGAAGGCAGAGCUCAGGCAGCAAUGCUCGCUCGCCCACUCACCUCCUGCUGUGCAGCCCGGUUCCUAACAGGCCAUGAACCAAUACCCGUCCACGGCCCAGGGGUUGGGCACCCCUGGACUAAGGGACAUGACAGGUAGUAGAAGAAAGGGUUAAAUGGCUCUGAGAAGUGGGCAUGCUGAAAUGAAUAUUCUAGAAAAGUAGAAAAAUCCUCCAGAUGAUUCUGUACCACAGAAGGGCCCAGAGGAUACAUCAUUUACCAAGCCAAUAAGGAAUGUCCUGGUAAGAGGGGCAUCUGUGUCACUCACUAAGAAGGUCAACUGUGGCUCUCCUCCGGAGGAUAGAGCUGAUGGCAGGAGAGGUCCUUACAGAACUAGACUCCUUGUUAGGAUUGGAGACGAUAUGACUCUGAAACAGAGUCUAGAUGGCGACACUUCAUCAUUAGAAACCAUACGGACACAAUGAUCAUAAAGUAUGACAAGGUCAAAGGGGCAGUCAGGGGAAUCUUACUUGCAGAGAUUUAUGGAGAUAGUUAUAGAACGUGGUGUCUGUGAUGGCUAAUUUUUUCUUUUUUUUUUUUGAGACGGAGUCUCGCUCUGUGGCCCAGGCUGGAGUGCAGUGGCGGAUCUCAGCUCACUGCAAGCCCCCACUCCCGGUUCAUGCCUGUUCUCCUGCCUCAGCCUCCCGAGUAGCUGGGACUACAGGCAUCCGCCACCUCACCCGGCUAGUUUUUUGUAUUUUUUAGUAGAGACAGGGUUUCACCGUGUUAGCCAGGAUGGUCUCGAUCUCCUGACCUCGUGAUCCGCCCAUCUCGGCCUCCCAAAGUGCUGGGAUUACAGGCUUGAGCCACCGCGCCCGGCCUGUGAUGGCUAAUUUUAUGUGUCAACUUGGCUGGGCCAAGGAGUACACACAAAUACUAUUCCCAAUGUUUCUGUGAGGGUGUUUUUAGAUGAGAUUAACAUUUAAAUCAAUGGAAUUUGAGUAAAGCAGGUUACUCAUGACAGUGUGGAUGGUCCUCAUUCAACCAAUUCAAAACCUGAAUAGGAGAGAGAAACCAGCCUCUCCUGAGUUAGAGGGAAUUCUCCAGCAGACAGCCUUUGGACUUAAUUUGCAACAUCAGCUCUUCCUGGCUCUACAGCCAUAGGCUUUGGGCUUGAACUGCAGCAUAAGCUCGUCCGGGUCUCCAGCUUGCCAGCCCACCCUGCAGAUUUUGGACUUGAUAGUCUGUGUAAUUGUGUAAGCCAAUUCCUUAUAAUAAAUCUGUUUCUUUGUAUGUAAACAUCCUAUUAGUUCCGCUUUUCUAGAGAACCCUAACUAAUACAUGUCCCUGUUAUAAAAAUAGAUGGGCCACCAAGGCCGGGUGUGGUGGCUCAUAACCGUAAACCCAGCACUUUGGGAGGCCGAGGUGGGUGGA
Molecule: long non-coding RNA, 1690 nt
Filed under: Macaca fascicularis (crab-eating macaque)
Lineage: Eukaryota; Metazoa; Chordata; Mammalia; Primates; Cercopithecidae
Description: lncRNA (ENSMFAG00000054756.1)
Source: RNAcentral